GCAGUGACAAGCUUUCCACUUUAUAGAUGGAUGUGAUGCACUACAGAGAUGAGCCCAAAUAUCAGCCCUUGGGAAGGAGAGCAGUGAUCCUUGUCUGGGCCCUGCCUGAGAGCCCUCCAGAGCUGUGAAUCAUCCCUGCGCAGAACUGGCAUCCUUAAAGGCCCAAAGAAAGAAAACUGAGAAGAAAGGCCUCUAAGGAUACUGGAACAGAAAGGAAAGCUGCUGUAACUCAGGGUGAGACCAGGCAGGGUGAAAUACCGGAAGGACAAUGUGAUUUUAAAUCCCUACCCUGGUCACAAGCAAAAUGGAGAACCUGACCAUUAAACUAAUGGCUGAAUUUCACCAGUCCCAGGACCUUCCACAGCCCUGUAGUCUUUGGAACAGCUGGUUUAAAAUGACCCAAGAGAUAGAUACAGUAUAAAAAUAGAGAGAAAGGGAUAUAAAAAUCAUAGUGCUAAUUUUAACCCUCUUUCACAAACUAAUUCAGGCAGCUAAUUAAACCAAAACUUUGAUGAGCUUCAAGUCUUUCAAUUAAUUCCAUCAGCUUCAUGCAAUAUUGCUUCAAAAAGCUCUGUGUAUUAGUAGGUGAAUCACUGCGAUUUGACAGAUUCCACAAAAUCAGGAGAAAGCCCCAGAGCUCUCCUAGAUGCAGGCACUAUUGCUGAGUACAGCCUUUGGGCAUCCGUAUGAUGGGUUUAUGGUAAUUGUGGCUGUUGAAGAGAUUGACCCAUGGAUAGAGUCAGGACUUGUCUACCGAGGGAAUUCUAUCAGCAGAAUUACAGUAGUCAAGUUAAAUGGUUGUAGUUGUAUCAGUGUAACUUCCUAUGUGGAUGUUCCUAUUCACAAAUGAGAUCACCUUUUAAUAUAAGUAACCUAAGCUACAUGACAAAAAGCCACUCGUACUGGCAUAAGAGCAUCCACACAGGGAAUUAUCCUAAUAUACCUAUACUAAUAUAAUUACAGGAGUGCAAUUUCCCCAUGUAGACAAGCAUUUCCUUCUUCAGCAUUAUCAUGACUGCACAGUCAU
Molecule: long non-coding RNA, 1027 nt
Organism: Alligator sinensis (Chinese alligator)
Lineage: Eukaryota; Metazoa; Chordata; Crocodylia; Alligatoridae
Exons: 3
Source: RefSeq, a predicted model, not a curated record